GACGAACGCUGGCGGCGUGCUUAACACAUGCAAGUCGAACGAUGAAGCCCUUCGGGGUGGAUUAGUGGCGAACGGGUGAGUAACACGUGGGCAAUCUGCCCUUCACUCUGGGACAAGCCCUGGAAACGGGGUCUAAUACCGGAUAACACUCUGUCCCGCAUGGGACGGGGUUAAAAGCUCCGGCGGUGAAGGAUGAGCCCGCGGCCUAUCAGCUUGUUGGUGGGGUAAUGGCCUACCAAGGCGACGACGGGUAGCCGGCCUGAGAGGGCGACCGGCCACACUGGGACUGAGACACGGCCCAGACUCCUACGGGAGGCAGCAGUGGGGAAUAUUGCACAAUGGGCGAAAGCCUGAUGCAGCGACGCCGCGUGAGGGAUGACGGCCUUCGGGUUGUAAACCUCUUUCAGCAGGGAAGAAGCGCAAGUGACGGUACCUGCAGAAGAAGCGCCGGCUAACUACGUGCCAGCAGCCGCCGUAACAC
This 481-nucleotide ribosomal RNA is filed under the name uncultured bacterium. RNAcentral's name for it is "bacterial SSU rRNA". It matches the Rfam family "Bacterial small subunit ribosomal RNA", at positions 28 to 526 of the family's 1533-position model. The record is from RNAcentral.